UACAGAGGUGUCAAACGUUGUCCGGAAUUACUGGGCGUAAAGGGCGCGUAGGCGGCCUUAUAAGUCAUAUGUGAAAGCUCUGGGCUCAACCCAGGAAUUGCAUGUGAUACUGUAAGGCUUGAGUUCGGUAGAGGAGGGCGGAAUUCCAGGUGUAGCGGUGAAAUGCGUAGAUAUCAAGAGGAACACCUGAGGCGAAGGCGGGUUGCUAGGCUGACACUGACGCUGAGGCGCGAAAGCCAGGGGAGCAAACGGG
Molecule: ribosomal RNA, 253 nt
Filed under: uncultured bacterium
Lineage: Bacteria
Description: partial 16S ribosomal RNA
Rfam family: Bacterial small subunit ribosomal RNA
Source: RNAcentral